RNAcentral lists this ribosomal RNA (497 nucleotides) under uncultured bacterium. RNAcentral's name for it is "partial 16S ribosomal RNA". It matches the Rfam family "Bacterial small subunit ribosomal RNA", at positions 28 to 507 of the family's 1533-position model. The record is from RNAcentral.
GAUGAACGCUGGCGGCGUGCCUAAUACAUGCGAGUCGAGCGAACAGAUAAGGAGCUUGCUCCUUUGAAGUUAGCGGCGGACGGGUGAGUAACACGUGGGUAACCUACCUAUAAGACUGGGAUAACUUCGGGAAACCGGAGCUAAUACCGGAUAACAUUUAGAACCGCAUGGUUCUAAAGUGAAAGAUGGCUUUGCUAUCACUUAUAGAUGGACCCGCGCCGUAUUAGCUAGUUGGUAAGGUAACGGCUUACCAAGGCGACGAUACGUAGCCGACCUGAGAGGGUGAUCGGCCACACUGGAACUGAGACACGGUCCAGACUCCUACGGGAGGCAGCAGUAGGGAAUCUUCCGCAAUGGGCGAAAGCCUGACGGAGCAACGCCGCGUGAGUGAUGAAGGGUUUCGGCUCGUAAAACUCUGUUAUUAGGGAAGAACAAAUGUGUAAGUAACUGUGCACAUCUUGACGGUACCUAAUCAGAAAGCCACGGCUAACUACGUG